AGGCCAAUUUGCAUAAAAAAUCCACUUAUUUUGGGGUUUUGCAAAACCGGGCCACCUUUUUCCUUUUUGCAGAUUCGGUCCGCUUUUUCCGCCGCCUGACCAAAAUGCCCCUCCUAUACAAUAGCCUCCCGCGUAUUUCUUGACAUACGUAUACUACCCUGCCGUACGUUCUGGCGCGCAUUAAAUGACCCGUUCAAUCUCAGUCAUUUCUCGGAACCCGGACAACAUCCGCCCCCGCUAUUCGCCGACCCCGCUGUUUCCUGUUUGGCUUUAAUUCUUUAAUACAAUAACUCACGAUAAAUGAGAAAAUAUGCACGGCCCGAGCAGAGAUAAUAGUGCAACGCAAAGUGAAACGCCCGAAAAAAUGGUGCAACUGCCAUUAUAACAGUGCAUCGCUAGGUCGCACCAGUGCAACCUCUCCAAAAUCAGUCAAAAUUUUACUUUCUCUAUUCCUUAAUAUAAUCUCAACUUAGUACUGCAAAUUAACGGCUACCCCUCCAAAUGAAGCCGAAGCGUCGGCGGCGCAGGACGGUGGCUGCGGGGUUCGAAGGUCGGCGAUGUGCGACAUAAGAGUCGGCAGGCCAGGAAGCUCGGCGGCGGGGCUGGAAGGUCGCCGGCGCAGGACGCUUUUCGAGAGGCGUGACAUAGCGGCUAAACGAUUGUGCAAACUGUUCUUACGAAAGAUCAGCGUUCUUAUAACGCAUGAAUAGGUUCACAGAUGAACGCCAAUAAUAGUGCAAGACAGAGUGAAUAACAGAACAAUAUUUUUAAAAGAGUGCAAAGAUGCUUGUAAGAGUGCAAUAAGGUAUAAAUAAUAGUGCAAUCGAUUUAAAAACAUGUGCAACGAAAGUGCAAUAAGGUAGUAAACCAGUGCAAUAUUUUGAAAAGACUCGUACUAAGCUUAUAAGGGUUCGUUGGAGAGGUUGAUACAAGGUAUAAUAAUAGUGCAACGCCAGGUCGGUGAAAUAAAAAUUUAAUUUAAAAAAGGUUUUAAGUAUUGUAACACAGAUCAAAAGAGUUUAAGAAUCUCUGCUAAAGCGUGUAACAGAUGAUACCUAGUACGAAAUUUUCAAAGAUUUGGCGUUAACAUGAACAAAAUAGUGCAAAAAGGUCGAAAUUUAUAUUAUUCUAUGAUGUAAACAGUGCAACAUUUUAUGAAAAAUAUUGUAACUGGUAAAUAGUGCAACAAAUUCCUAAGCAGUACAUUAAUUUGUGAACAAGAAUUAUAUUUUCUUCUUUAAAUCCGAGUACACGAUUUUAUACAAGUUUACACAAUACAAAAAGGAUUUGCCUACAAUGAAAAAUUCUAUUACUUCAGCAAUAACAAAUUGAACAUAAUAAAAAUUAUGUUACAGAAAUAUCUAAUCAUCGAAGCUUGUCUGCAAUUCCACGCGCACAUAGCCUAAGAUAACAUGUAUAGGCCAGGGGAGACUUCCGCAGGAGACUGCGAGGAGGAGAUUGCAAGUAGAAGACUGCGAGGAGAAGACUGCGAGGAGGAGACUGCGAGGAGGAGACUGCGAGAAGGAGACUGCCGAAGGAGACUGCGAGUAGGAGGAGGGUCGUUCGGAAGUGUAGAUCCAGCAACGAGGCCUUAAGAUUGAUUUGCACUAUCUGGAGUGCUUUAUUUGCCUCAAGCCCUUUGGAGCUCCGCUCUACCAUGAAACAGACAGUUCAAUCAGCAUAACAUAAGAAUCCAUCAAUAACAAUAAAGAUCUGUAAGAAUUUAAGAACCUGUAUGAGAGGAGAGCCAAU
This 1752-nucleotide long non-coding RNA is filed under the name Ananas comosus (pineapple). RNAcentral's name for it is "long non-coding RNA (ACOM_LNC008630)". Lineage: Eukaryota; Viridiplantae; Streptophyta; Magnoliopsida; Poales; Bromeliaceae. The record is from RNAcentral.